This 506-nucleotide ribosomal RNA is filed under the name uncultured bacterium. Its description in RNAcentral is "bacterial SSU rRNA". It matches the Rfam family "Bacterial small subunit ribosomal RNA", at positions 18 to 518 of the family's 1533-position model. The record is from RNAcentral.
UAUGGCUCAGGAUGAACGCUAGCGGCAGGCUUAACACAUGCAAGUCGAGGGGCAUCGGGAGUAGCAAUACUGCCGGCGACCGGCGCAAGGGUGCGUAACGCGUGAGCAACAUGCCCGUAUCAGGGGGAUAAUCCAUGGAAACGUGGUCUAAUACCCCAUAGUAAUUAUGUAAGGCAUCUUAUAUAAUUUAAAGCUUUGGUGGAUACGGAUUGGCUCGCGUGACAUUAGCUAGAUGGUAAGGUAACGGCUUACCAUGGCUACGAUGUCUAGGGGUUCUGAGAGGAAGGUCCCCCCACACUGGAACUGAGACACGGUCCAGACUCCUACGGGAGGCAGCAGUGAGGAAUAUUGGACAAUGGAUGGAAGUCUGAUCCAGCCAUGCCGCGUGCAAGGAAGACGGCCCUAUGGGUUGUAAACUGCUUUUGUAUGGGAGCAAUAAGGGCUACGCGUAGUCCGAUGAGAGUACCAUACGAAUAAGCACCGGCUAACUCCGUGCCAGCCGCAGC